This 852-nucleotide long non-coding RNA is filed under the name Oryctolagus cuniculus (rabbit). RNAcentral's name for it is "lncRNA (ENSOCUG00000032798.1)". The record is from RNAcentral. Lineage: Eukaryota; Metazoa; Chordata; Mammalia; Lagomorpha; Leporidae.
GGCCCUGGUUCCAAGCGAGUGCAGCAGAGGAACCCCUGAGAAUUCACACACAGGCACAGGACUCUGCUGUAGGCCUCAUGCAAAAUUGGAUAUCAAGAUAAAGAAUUAGCACCAACAAUACUAUUUGUCAAAUGUAGAACAGAACACAAAGGAAAGAGAAUCUAAACAUCGCACGAUGAAAUGUAUUAUGUAGAGCAGCUGGAAACAUUAUUUCCAGGACUUUUUGAAGACUACCUCAGGCUUUCUCUGAGACACGGAAGAAAACACUGCUCAAUAAAGUACUGGAGUAAAACUGGUCUCCCGAGUCCAUAGGGAGCAACCCUUGUUACAGACCUGCUUUCCGGAAUACCACAGCUUCUUUUUUUCCACUCUUUAGGCAGGAUUGUUGUGCGCAUGUUUAUAUCAUUGCAUGCGGAUUUCCGCAUGAAGUUUCGCUAACCCACUUUGCUAUUUCACUUAACAGAAUGUCCUUUAUACUAGUGAAUCCUGGUAUCUAGAACAAAGUACCACAGACUGAAUGGCUUAAAAAUGUGGAAGAUACUUUUUUAUAGUUGUGGAGGCUGAAACUAGAUCAGAGUGCCGAUAUGGUUCAAUUCCAAUGAGGACAGUUUUUUUCAGGUUACAGAAUGAUUCUUGUUUCCAUCCUUUGUAACUCCUCGUGUUGGAUAGAAGAAAUGCAGAGUCCAUGAGAUUUCUUCCAGAGUAGCACUUGUCUGAAUCAUGAGGGACUCUCUCACCAUGAUCCAAUCACUCUCAGAGUCUCCACUUCCUAAUACUAACACACUGAGCAUGAGGACUUCAUCGUACCAACUUUGGAGGAUCAUCAAUUAAUCUAUUGUACAUUCCAUCAUC